RNAcentral lists this ribosomal RNA (293 nucleotides) under uncultured bacterium. RNAcentral's name for it is "partial 16S ribosomal RNA". It matches the Rfam family "Bacterial small subunit ribosomal RNA", at positions 505 to 796 of the family's 1533-position model. The record is from RNAcentral.
GUGUCAGCAGCCGCGGUAAGACGUAGGGGGCCAGCGUUGUUCGGAAUUACUGGGCGUAAAGGGUGUGUAGGCGGCUGGAUAAGUCUGGCGUGAAAUCUUCACCGCUUAACGGGAAGUGGUCGCUGGAAACUGUUCAGCUUGAGUAUGGUAGAGGCAAACGGAAUUCCUGGUGUAGCGGUGGAAUGUGUAGAUAUCAGGAAGAACACCGGUGGCGAAGGCGGUUUGCUGGGCCAUCACUGACGCUGAGACACGAAAGCGUGGGGAGCAAACGGGAUUAGAUACCCCUGUAGUCC